AAAAUCGGGGCACGGUCAUCGUGGAGCGCUGGUGGAAGGUACCGCUGGCCGGGGAGGGCCGGAAGCCGCGCCUGCACCGGCGACAUCGCGUCUAUAAGCUGGUGGAGGACACGAAGCAUCGGCCCAAAGAAAACCUGGAGCUCAUCCUGACGCAGUCGGUGGAGAAUGUUGGAGUCCGGGGUGACCUGGUCUCAGUGAAGAAAUCUUUGGGCCGGAAUCGACUCCUUCCUCAGGGACUGGCUGUAUAUGCAUCCCCUGAAAACAGGAAGCUGUUUGAAGAGGAGAAAUUGGUGAGCUCAAAGGAAGGACAGAGAGACUUGGAGAGAUAAAACUUCUUUUAUCUCGCAG
Molecule: small RNA, 348 nt
Filed under: Pongo abelii (Sumatran orangutan)
Lineage: Eukaryota; Metazoa; Chordata; Mammalia; Primates; Hominidae
Description: retained intron
Source: RNAcentral